RNAcentral lists this ribosomal RNA (483 nucleotides) under uncultured bacterium. Its description in RNAcentral is "partial 16S ribosomal RNA". It matches the Rfam family "Bacterial small subunit ribosomal RNA", at positions 28 to 506 of the family's 1533-position model. The record is from RNAcentral.
AUUGAACGCUGGCGGCAUGCUUUACACAUGCAAGUCGAACGGCAGCGCGGGCUUCGGCCUGGCGGCGAGUGGCGAACGGGUGAGUAAUGCAUCGGAACGUGCCCAGUAGUGGGGGGUAGCCCGGCGAAAGCCGGAUUAAUACCGCAUACGACCUGAGGGUGAAAGCGGGGGACCGAAAGGCCUCGCGCUAUUGGAGCGGCCGAUGUCGGAUUAGCUAGUUGGUGGGGUAAAGGCUUACCAAGGCGACGAUCCGUAGCUGGUCUGAGAGGACGACCAGCCACACUGGGACUGAGACACGGCCCAGACUCCUACGGGAGGCAGCAGUGGGGAAUUUUGGACAAUGGGGGCAACCCUGAUCCAGCCAUGCCGCGUGCGGGAAGAAGGCCUUCGGGUUGUAAACCGCUUUUGUUCGGGAAGAAAUCCUCUGGGCUAAUACCCCGGGGGGAUGACGGGACCGGAAGAAUAAGCACCGGCUAACUACGU